CGAACCCUGCAACUUUCCCCUCGGCGCAAAGCGGGGACGCGCCGAGUGUAGGGGGCAGCCGCUCAGCGCGGCUUAGGGGCCGCCCCCCCCCAUCGCUGUGAAGCGGGAUGAGAGAAGAUGGCGCCCCCCACUGUUGCCAACGCGUGAAUUUUUUUUAGUUUUUUUGCGGGAAGCCCUGCGCCCGUAAAUCCCCAGCGCCUGGAGUCCCGUUACUACGGUCCCGCUGGCACACAUCCAGAAAGUUUUGGGUAAUACUGACAACUUUGCCAUGGGAACUUAAUUCACAAUACUUUUAGUCAAUGGAUUGAGAAAGGACAGAUAGAAAUCAAACCAGGGUCUCAUACGCUCAAGAGAUACUCCAAUAGAAUAGAUGGCACCUACCGACCCAUUGGGGGAAAUCAAAUUAAAACAUUAUUUCAGAAAGAGUUGGCUUUUCUAGUUAACUUCUUGAGAAGGCUCACACACCUAAUGGAUUAUAUUGAGCAUAUAUUCAGAGAGGCGCUAACUAUCUGGAAAACUAUCAAAUCACAGGACUUGGCUGGUUCUGAGGACAUCGAUGAUUAUCAAAUC
Long non-coding RNA from Mauremys mutica (yellowpond turtle), 570 nucleotides. RefSeq lists it as uncharacterized. The record is from RefSeq and is a predicted model, not a curated record. The transcript has 3 exons. Lineage: Eukaryota; Metazoa; Chordata; Testudines; Geoemydidae.